This 398-nucleotide ribosomal RNA is filed under the name uncultured bacterium. RNAcentral describes it as "bacterial SSU rRNA". It matches the Rfam family "Bacterial small subunit ribosomal RNA", at positions 358 to 773 of the family's 1533-position model. The record is from RNAcentral.
GGAAUUUUGGGCAAUGGGCGAAAGCCUGACCCAGCAACGCCGCGUGAAGGAUGAAGUCCCUCGGGAUGUAAACUUCGUAAGUAUGGGAAGAAUAAAUGACGGUACCAUACGUAAGCUCCGGCUAACUACGUGCCAGAAGCCGCGGUAAUACGUAGGGAGCAAGCGCUGUUCGGAUUUACUGGGCGUAAAGGGUGCGUAGGCGGCGCGUCAAGUCACUUGUGAAAUCUCCGGGCUUAACUCGGAACGGCCAAGUGAUACUGUCGCGCUAGAGUGCGGAAUGGGCAACUGGAAUUCUUGGUGUAGCGGUGAAAUGCGUAGAUAUCAAGAGGAACACCUGAGGCGAAGGCGAGUUGCUGGGCCGACACUGACGCUGAGGCACGAAAGCCAGGGGAGCGAAC